Molecule: ribosomal RNA, 283 nt
Filed under: uncultured Pseudomonas sp.
Lineage: Bacteria; Pseudomonadati; Pseudomonadota; Gammaproteobacteria; Pseudomonadales; Pseudomonadaceae
Description: partial 16S ribosomal RNA
Rfam family: Bacterial small subunit ribosomal RNA
Source: RNAcentral
AACCCUUGUCCUUAGUUACCAGCACGUUAUGGUGGGCACUCUAAGGAGACUGCCGGUGACAAACCGGAGGAAGUGGGGAUGACGUCAAGUCAUCAUGGCCCUUACGGCCAGGGCUACACACGUGCUACAAUGGUCGGUACAGAGGGUUGCCAAGCCGCGAGUGGAGCUAAUCCCAUAAAACCGAUCGUAGUCCGGAUUGGAGUCUGCAACUCGACUCCAUGAAGUCGGAAUCGCUAGUAAUCGUGGAUCAGAAUGCCACGGUGAAUACCGGUUCCCGGGCCUU